Molecule: ribosomal RNA, 375 nt
Filed under: uncultured organism
Description: partial 16S ribosomal RNA
Rfam family: Bacterial small subunit ribosomal RNA
Source: RNAcentral
GUAGGUGGCAAGCGUUGUCCGGGAAUUAUUGGGGCGUAAAGCGCGCGCAGGCGGUUCUUUAAGUCUGAUGUGAAAGCCCACGGGCUCAACCGUGGAGGGUCAUUGGAAACUGGAGAACUUGAGUACAGAAGAGGAAAGCGGAAUUCCACGUGUAGCGGUGAAAUGCGUAGAGAUGUGGAGGAACACCAGUGGCGAAGGCGGCUUUCUGGUCUGUAACUGACGCUGAGGCGCGAAAGCGUGGGGAGCAAACAGGAUCAGAUACCCUGGUAGUCCACGCCGUAAACGAUGAGUGCUAAGUAUUAGGGGGUUUCCGCCCCUUAGUGCUGCAGCUAACGCAUUAAGCACUCCGCCUGGGGAGUACGGCCGCAAAGGCUG